This 468-nucleotide ribosomal RNA is filed under the name uncultured Pseudomonadota bacterium. RNAcentral's name for it is "bacterial SSU rRNA". It matches the Rfam family "Bacterial small subunit ribosomal RNA", at positions 8 to 522 of the family's 1533-position model. The record is from RNAcentral. Lineage: Bacteria; Pseudomonadati; Pseudomonadota.
AGAGUUUGAUCAUGGCUCAGAGCGAACGCUGGCGGCAGGCUUAACACAUGCAAGUCGAGCGGGCGUAGCAAUACGUCAGCGGCAGACGGGUGAGUAACGCGUGGGAACGUACCUUUUGGUUCGGAACAACACAGGGAAACUUGUGCUAAUACCGGAUAAGCCCUUACGGGGAAAGAUUUAUCGCCGAAAGAUCGGCCCGCGUCUGAUUAGCUAGUUGGUGAGGUAACGGCUCACCAAGGCGACGAUCAGUAGCUGGUCUGAGAGGAUGAUCAGCCACAUUGGGACUGAGACACGGCCCAAACUCCUACGGGAGGCAGCAGUGGGGAAUAUUGGACAAUGGGCGCAAGCCUGAUCCAGCCAUGCCGCGUGAGUGAUGAAGGCCCUAGGGUUGUAAAGCUCUUUUGUGCGGGAAGAUAUGACGGUACCGCAAGAAUAAGCCCCGGCUACUUCGUGCCAGCAGCCGCGGUA